This is a long non-coding RNA of Pan troglodytes (chimpanzee), 763 nucleotides long. RefSeq lists it as uncharacterized. NCBI's taxonomy places the organism in Eukaryota, Metazoa, Chordata, Mammalia, Primates, Hominidae. The transcript has 7 exons. The record is from RefSeq and is a predicted model, not a curated record.
GCUGCGGCCAGGGCUCGCCCGCUCCUCCGGCGGCCUCCGCUGGGGGCCCACUACAGCCCAGCGCCGGCCAGCCAGCCCAGCUUCUCGAAUCGGUCCUAAGCUGAGGCCGCCCUGCGCUGCAAAACUUGUGUCCACUCUCGGACCCAAUCUGUUCUGGACGGACUUGGCUCGUGGCAGGCGAAAGCGUCGUUUCCAACUGCAGCUGUUUGAAUUCUGGCGCCACACCCGCGCCACGUAGGGCCAAGUCGGCCGCCAAACUCGUGCGAGAGGGCGGGACGGCCUCGUUCUGACUCCGGGAGGCUAUAUAAGGAGCUACUGGCUGCGCACUUCGGUCUUUUACGUCGGCCUUCGCGAGCGUUUGGUCGGGUGGUAGGAACAAUGGCGCUGUCUUCAGUGGCACAGUGGAGCAGCUCUGAAGAUGCAAAGAUACACGAAAAAACUUCCAGAACAUCUGGGAGAAUAUUUAAUGGAAAAUCGCUUGGUUAAAACCUGACACUCUUAACAGUGAACAGCGUUCUGAGUGUGGACGAGUAGCCAGUGAAGAUAAUGAAUGUCGAACGUGACUGACUAGCAGCUUCAUUUUGAAUGAGGGUCGCUGUCUGCCCAUUGAUAGAGGCCAGAUUGUCUUGGAAGUUCCAAAGUUGCAACGAUUUCUGGCUAGUGCCACGAGGUUUACUUGACUGUUGUGUGAAAAGCUGAUAAGAAAACCAUCCAGAAAAAAGCUCUUCGUUUUACAAACAUGAAAAUAAAACAUGUAAUUUUG